Molecule: ribosomal RNA, 253 nt
Filed under: uncultured bacterium
Lineage: Bacteria
Description: partial 16S ribosomal RNA
Rfam family: Bacterial small subunit ribosomal RNA
Source: RNAcentral
UACGAAGGGGGCUAGCGUUGCUCGGAAUCACUGGGCGUAAAGCGCACGUAGGCGGCUUUCUAAGUCAGGGGUGAAAUCCUGGAGCUCAACUCCAGAACUGCCUUUGAUACUGGAGAGCUUGAGUCCGGGAGAGGUGAGUGGAACUCCGAGUGUAGAGGUGAAAUUCGUAGAUAUUCGGAAGAACACCAGUGGCGAGGGCGGCUCACUGGCCCGGUACUGACGCUGAGGUGCGAAAGCGUGGGGAGCAAACAGG